GGCGAUUCUUCCCUGAGACAGAAUUUUACAAUCCGAAAACCUUCUUCAUUCACGCGGCGUUGCUCCUUCAGACUUUCUGCCAUUGCGGAAGAUUCCCCACUGCUGCCUCCCGUAG
This 115-nucleotide ribosomal RNA is filed under the name uncultured bacterium. Its description in RNAcentral is "partial 16S ribosomal RNA". The record is from RNAcentral.